UCAUCAGUCUCCACGUAUUACCCAAGCUCUGGCGGCCCCUUUAAGAACUCACCUGUAGCCGCCUCCUCCGAAGCCGAGCCGCCCUCCGUUCGCAGAACUGGUUUAAGUUUUGAUUGCAGCCCCGAGCGGGACUCCAGGACGCCCAGGACCUCGCUCCGGGGCUGUAGGAGAAUCACGGGAAGCUCUCCAAGUUACUGCCCAGGUCUUCGAGCCUCUUCUAGAUAACAAGACUCUCCCUGCUCUGAGGUUGAGAGAGAAGAAUUUGCCCAGGGUCAUCCAGUGUUGGUGACAAAACUGGAAACACGGAGAUCUUGUCUUUCAAAACCGGAAGACUCUUCCCAGUAAACUUGACAGCUUGUCACCGAGGCCAUAUCCUUGGGCUAGUAAAGGGAAGUGUCGGGAACCUUGUACUGUAACCAUAACAGUUAGUCAGAGGUGAUGGGGAUAGAAAUGAAUAAUAUCCAAGUCCAGCUCUCAAGGACCCACAGCCUGG
Molecule: long non-coding RNA, 493 nt
Filed under: Equus asinus (donkey)
Lineage: Eukaryota; Metazoa; Chordata; Mammalia; Perissodactyla; Equidae
Description: lncRNA (ENSEASG00005024467.1)
Source: RNAcentral